RNAcentral lists this ribosomal RNA (229 nucleotides) under uncultured bacterium. Its description in RNAcentral is "partial 16S ribosomal RNA". It matches the Rfam family "Bacterial small subunit ribosomal RNA", at positions 15 to 235 of the family's 1533-position model. The record is from RNAcentral.
GAUCAUGGCUCAGGAUGAACGCUAGCUACAGGCUUAACACAUGCAAGUCGAGGGGCAGCAUGAACUUAGCUUGCUAAGUUUGAUGGCGACCGGCGCACGGGUGAGUAACACGUAUCCAACCUUCCGUUUACUCAGGGAUAGCCUCUCGAAAGAAAUAUUAAUACCUGAUAGUAUGGUGAGAUUGCAUGAUAGCACCAUUAAAGAUUUAUUGGUAAACGAUGGGGAUGCG